Molecule: non-coding RNA, 424 nt
Organism: Anolis sagrei ordinatus
Lineage: Eukaryota; Metazoa; Chordata; Lepidosauria; Squamata; Anolidae
Source: the annotation of a RefSeq genome assembly
CUUCAUUUGUGGUUGAGACCAAACACACCUCACCAUGUCCUGGUGUGCCACGCUUAGCCUGCUCUUCAUGGUGUGGUGUGCAGGAACACUGUCUCAGCCCACCCUGACCCAGCCACCCUCGGCCUCCGUGUCUCUGGGGGAGACAGUGAAACUCUCCUGUGUCAUGAGCAGUGAAGCCAACAUUGGUGGUUAUUAUGUGUAUUGGUACCAGCAGAAACCUGGGAGUGCUCCACGGUACCUCUUACGGUUUUACUCAGAUUCUAGCAAGCACCAAGGCUCUGGGGUUCCCUCUCGUUUCUCUGGGUCCAAAGAUACCUCCAGUAACACUGGCUAUUUAAACAUUGCGGGAACCCUGGCUGAAGACGAAGCUGAUUAUUACUGUGCUGUGUGGCACAACAAUGCGUGUCACGGUGGUGCACCCUGA